GACGAACGCUGGCGGCGCGCUUAACACAUGCAAGUCGAACGGAAAGGCCUGCUUUCCCUUGUGGAUUGCGGGUACUCGAGUGGCGAACGGGUGAGUAACACGUGAGUGAUCUGCCCCCAACUUGGGUAUAAGCCUGGGAAACUGGGUCUAAUUCCCGAUAGGACUGCAGGGUGGUGCCUGUGGUGGAAAACGGUUUUCUAGUGGUUGGGGAUGAGCUCGCGGCCUAUCAGCUUGUUGGUGGGGUAAUGGCCUACCAAGGCGGCGACGGGUAGCCGGCCUGGGAGGGUGGACGGCGACAUUGGGACUGAGAUACGGCCCAGACUCCUACGGGAGGCAGCAGUGGGGAAUAUUGCACAAUGGGCGGAAGCCUGAUGCAGCGACGCCGCGUGGGGGAUGACGGCCUUCGGGUUGUAAACUCCUUUCGACCGCGAGGAAGCCACCUGGUUGGAAGGGUGGUGACGGUAGUGGUAGAAGAAGCACCGGCUAACUACGUG
Molecule: ribosomal RNA, 494 nt
Filed under: uncultured bacterium
Lineage: Bacteria
Description: partial 16S ribosomal RNA
Rfam family: Bacterial small subunit ribosomal RNA
Source: RNAcentral